Molecule: long non-coding RNA, 803 nt
Organism: Herpailurus yagouaroundi (jaguarundi)
Lineage: Eukaryota; Metazoa; Chordata; Mammalia; Carnivora; Felidae
Exons: 3
Source: RefSeq, a predicted model, not a curated record
CUCUGACUUUUUUCAGCGCUGGCACCUCGCGCAGGCUAUCCAAUUUCUCUGUGCCUCUGACAGCCCGUCCAGAAGAGGGCGCUGAGGCAGCCAGCGCUCACGUCCUGGGAGAGUUCUAAGCAUCCCAAGAGCGAACGCCUCUGAAGAGAUUUACCCUGUACGUGUGGACUUGUAAAGGAGGCAAAAACCUUCAACCGAAACGCUGGCUGCGAUGUCCAACCUAUGACGGCACCGAGAAGAGACCAGUGGCAGUUAUAGGAGCCAUACGUCUGCAGAGAGGCCUGAAGACCGUUGUGUUAACCCAGCACCAUUUAAUAUUUUCAUUAAUGACUUGAAGGAUGGAAUCGAGACCCAGCUAAUCAGAUGUCGGCAUGAUACAAAGCUGGAAGGGAUCUUAGCUACUCGGGAGGACAAGAUUAAAAUACAAUCCAAGCUUGACGAAUUGCAGAGGUGGACCUAAAUCAAUAAAGAGAACGGCAAUAAAGAUAAAUGCAGGCUGCCGUGCACCGCGCUGAGGAAAUUAUCCGGGUACCAAAUGGCGAUGAGAGAAAUGAGUUUUGAGGGGGCCAGCAGGAGCUCACCUGGAGGUGAAUUCAUCAAGUCAUAGUAUUUGUAAAGUGGAGGCUCGGCUCUGUCGUCCAGUGGACCUCAAACGCCAGCAACUUGUCAGCACCUUGAGAUGUGCAGGAGCCUUGCGUCGUGGAUCCUACGUCCCCAGUGCCUCUGGGUGAUUGAAUAAAGGAACGGACGAAUGAGUGAAUGCUGAAUAAAUACCGAACACAUUAAAUAUUUAUAAACAUGCA